This is a long non-coding RNA of Sphaeramia orbicularis (orbiculate cardinalfish), 1420 nucleotides long. RefSeq lists it as uncharacterized. Lineage: Eukaryota; Metazoa; Chordata; Actinopteri; Kurtiformes; Apogonidae. The record is from RefSeq and is a predicted model, not a curated record. The transcript is spliced from 2 exons.
ACAGGACGAGAAAGACAUUAAAAAACAAACACAAAAACUGAUGUUAAAAUGUGUCACAGCAAAGAGCUUACGAAAAAAAAAAAAAACAUGGAAAAUUCAUCUUUCUCAUUACUGAUUCAGGCAGUACAGAACAGCAAGUGCUUCAUAUUGAACAUCGACCAAAGGACAGCAGUGCUGCAACAAAGAAAUAUUUUAGGGAGGAUAUGUUUCUCUGACCGGUUUAAAAACCUCAGCACGACCAUGUAGCCGAUACAGAACCAGCAGAUUAACUUCAGGCUAUGGUUUUAUACCGGUCAGUAAAACAUUAGACCCUUUAACAAAAGCUUCACAGACAAAUUAUGAGAAAUUUUCCCCGUGUUUGGCAAGAACAUACUACUCUAACCAGAUCUAAAACUGAACCCAGCAAGUGAAUACGUGUCCACACAUCUCACUCUAAACGCCUUCAGCCACAAUAUAGAAAAAGUAAACCCGCAAAAACAUCAACAAAACUUCAAAACAAAAGCCCGCUUUAGUCAGGAGAAAACAUUGAUUAGUAACAUGCAUUCAAUUGGCAACAGAACAUAUAACAGAUCAAACGACAGAUCCGAAUCCAAAUAAAUGGAAUGUUUACAGCAUCAAGUCAUUUAUCAAAUCGAGUAUGACAGGGAGAGAGGCUCCAGGCAGGGGUUUCCAGUCAAAUUCCCGUGGCAAAUAUAAGCAACGUUAACAUGAGGUGGACAGGCUUGGUGCGUUUUAUAGAGGGACGAAGGAAAUGGAAGAGAUCUGCAGUGCUUUUUCUGUACGUUUCAAUCUCACUCUAUGCUUGGUUUGGAACUAAAGCCACUGAUUCACUCAAUGUUGUGGACAAAACAAAACGUUCCUCAAGUUAAAGUUUUGGUCACAGUUGACACUGACAAUGAGAAUGUAAAAUGUGCUGCCAGGUUUAAAUGACGACCUCACCCUGCAUCUUUAUCAAAGUGUAAUUGACCAUUUUGUUCACACACACAUAGGAAUCAUACAAGUUAAAUGAUGGGUCUUUACCUCAGCUCACUACGUGUCAGAAGAGCACCAAGUUGACACAAAAGCAACUUAUAAGUAGAGCCUACAUUCUUUGAUACGAGUACUGUAUGUCAAGUUUCAUACGUAUACUGUAGGUGUGCACACCUACUAACGGUGCAUAGAUAACUUCACCUCAUGUAUAAAUGACUACAAUAAAUGUACUGAAGAUAGAAUUGCAUAAAUAGCAAAAAUUCUAGUGCAUAGUCACCUAAAUCAUCAUGUCAAACUAAGACCAGAAGAAAGAGAGCACAUUUUGGCGGAAAACCAGAAGCCUUCAUGCAAACUGUUGGGACAAAUAUUACAUCAUAAAACACAACUUUUGGCUGGGCUAAAACACGUCAUCAUCAUCUGACGUAACUUCCCCUGUGAAAAGGAAGGAAAC